Molecule: non-coding RNA, 71 nt
Organism: Bubalus bubalis (water buffalo)
Lineage: Eukaryota; Metazoa; Chordata; Mammalia; Artiodactyla; Bovidae
Source: the annotation of a RefSeq genome assembly
UCCCAGGUGGCUCAGUGGUAAAGAAUCUGCCUGUAAGGCAGGAGACCUGGGUUCAAUCCCCAGGUCGGGAA